UACGGAGGAUCCAAGCGUUAUCCGGAUUUAUUGGGUUUAAAGGGUGCGUAGGCGGCCUGUUAAGUCAGGGGUGAAAGACGGUAGCUCAACUAUCGCAGUGCCCUUGAUACUGAUGGGCUUGAAUGUACUAGAGGUAGGCGGAAUGUGACAAGUAGCGGUGAAAUGCAUAGAUAUGACAUAGAACACCAAUUGCGAAGGCAGCUCACUAAGCAGAUAUUGACGCUGAGGCACGAAAGCGUGGGGAUCAAACAGG
Molecule: ribosomal RNA, 253 nt
Filed under: uncultured bacterium
Lineage: Bacteria
Description: partial 16S ribosomal RNA
Rfam family: Bacterial small subunit ribosomal RNA
Source: RNAcentral